RNAcentral lists this small RNA (76 nucleotides) under Flavobacterium collinsii. RNAcentral describes it as "Flavo-1". It matches the Rfam family "Flavo-1 RNA". Lineage: Bacteria; Pseudomonadati; Bacteroidota; Flavobacteriia; Flavobacteriales; Flavobacteriaceae. The record is from RNAcentral.
AUUUAGCCCUGAUGGAAGCGGCAUCCUUUUGUGCCGGGGUUCGGCACAAAAGAUACAGCGGACAGCAGGAAUAGCU